UGAUAUUUCUACUUUGAAUCUGUAGAGGGCUUGGCCAGCUGAUGGUCUCACAUUCUCCGAAAUCCUACCAUACUUCAACUUUUCUCCAUUCUGAUGCCGCCAAGCUACUAUUUCUCCAGCAUAAAAUGGUCUUAAUGGGUGAAAUUGUACUUGUAAAGCAUCUUGGGGUAGUAUAUCCAUGCCAAGAAGACCAUCUUUGUCACUUCUGAAUCCAUUAGCUUGCAUAUGAGAACUAAGUUUCAAGAUAUCGACAAGGGCAGUCUCAGAGCCCUCGGGACAAAGGAAUAGAGAGCCUAUUGGCAAUGGGACGGGGAAGUCUAACACCCUGCUCACAGCAGUCGCUAUCACAUCAGCAAUAGAGACAUAGUCUGGUGGUUCAGCGAUCAACACAGAAGAUUUAGACGGUUCAACAAAGUAAAGAGCCCGGUGACGUGAUGUAUCCUUCCACUCUGGGAACAUCGAUUCCGGUCUAACUCGAGUGAUAUCCAAA
Molecule: unclassified non-coding RNA, 490 nt
Filed under: Hevea brasiliensis (rubber tree)
Lineage: Eukaryota; Viridiplantae; Streptophyta; Magnoliopsida; Malpighiales; Euphorbiaceae
Source: RNAcentral